UGCGGCCCGAGCCUUCCCUAG
Molecule: unclassified non-coding RNA, 21 nt
Filed under: Mus musculus (house mouse)
Lineage: Eukaryota; Metazoa; Chordata; Mammalia; Rodentia; Muridae
Description: oocyte_clustered_small_RNA12999
Source: RNAcentral